Long non-coding RNA from Centrocercus urophasianus (Greater sage-grouse), 698 nucleotides. RefSeq lists it as uncharacterized. The transcript is spliced from 4 exons. The record is from RefSeq and is a predicted model, not a curated record. Lineage: Eukaryota; Metazoa; Chordata; Aves; Galliformes; Phasianidae.
UUAUAUUAUGUUAGUUUGAGCUCACCUUGCAAUGUCUGUAAACAUUGUCCUGUUUUAAUGUCCCAGAUUUUGACUGUAGAAUCAGCAUUUCCAGACACGAGUAUAUUGUCCUUAAGUUCCAUUCCACUCGUCAAAGACUGGUGGCCUGUGAGUGUGUGAAUGCAGUUUCCUGUCUCCACAUCCCAAACUCGGAUGGAGGUGUCAAGAGAUCCGCUCACCACAUGGAUACCAUCAAACUGCAAGAAAGUCCUCAGCCAUGAGUGUAGGCUAACACCAGUGACAACUGACUACGAGCUUCCACGAGAAUGGAGAAAAAACACACAUACAGCAAAGUUGUUUUAAGACCAUCGUAGAGACGGCUGAUGCUAUUUUGAGAAGUCAUGGAAGACAGACAAGACUUCAGGUGGCAGUGCCUGGAAUUGAUGCUUUCACUCCACGAAUGAACAAGAUGAUCUUUUGGAAUAGUAAAGUUUAUACUUUUUAAAGCCUUUUUAGGCAAGCACAGAAGUGAGAAGGAAUUAAUAUUAGUGGCACAGAUAAAGAAAAACCUCCGCAUUCUUCAAAAAAGAAAUGUAACCAACGGGCACUUGGACAGCAGCACCAUACCACAGCCACGUAAAGUAGCUCUGCCAAUGUUCCUUGAAUCAAGAAUUUCUACUGCAGAAAUUAUGAUACAGUAAGUUAAAAUUUUAAUAAAG